GACACAAACAAGAGCUCAAGGAUGGUGGCUGGGGUUCAGUCUGCCGCUGCAAAUACCAAAAGCUGUCCUCAUUGAGUCAUCCCUCCCAGAGCAGGAAGAGCAGAGGUUCUGGGAAACAACCCCAAGGAGAGAGACAGGGCAUUUAUAAAACAGCAUGUAAGCAUCUCUGCAGUUGCUGUCCCCAGAGCCCACUUCCUGGAUAUUGCCAGCUGCCUGGACCAACCUUUCCGAAAGAUCAGCCAGGUCACAGUGAGGGUCAAAGGAGGCCACUGGAGGCUCCAAGGGCUCUGAAAUGUUGAGAACUUCCCUGCAGGUACCAGCGAAGAGGGCAAGAACACAGCACUACUUCCUUGGAUACUGUUUCCCUCCUCAGAGGGGUUUUCUGAGCUGCCCUGGGUCCUGUGAGGAAGAUCUCCCCUUCCUGUAAAGACACCAGUCCUACUGGAUCAGGGCCCACCCGUGUGACUUCACUUUUACUUGAGUACCUCUCACAGACCCUAACUCCAAAUCAGGUCACUUGCUGAGGUACUGCAUGUGAAGACUUUGACAUUUGAAUUUUGAGGGGGCCACCGUUUAACCUGAACCACCAAGGACAGAGCCAAAGACCCUGGGUGACAGGCCCAGAACAGGACCUGGUGGAGGCUCUUCUUUAGGGGAGAGAGGGAAAUGGGAGCCACCACUGGCAGAGCCUGAAGGCAGGGCAGCCAGAAAGAAGCUGUGGGAGUCCCCACCAUGGAAGACCCUGCCGAGCAUCCUGUGUCUCCUGAAGCAGACCCUGACAUGAGGACUGGGGGCACGUGUUUAUUAAGGGCGAUCCCCGGAAGGAGGAGAUAACCAGGCAGAAGUCCUAGCAGAGUAUGCCCACGCUGGUUAGUGCUGCUGCAAAGAUGAGCCGAAGACCAUGAGAGACCUCCAGGUGGUCCUUCUGGGGAGAAGAAAUGGGUUUUGGCCCCAAAUCCUUCUGCUGCAUUUUUCCCCUAUCCCUGGGAAGCCAUGAGACCUCAAACCUGUGUUCCCAAGGAGGCGAGCUGCUGUUCCCAGGUGAUGAUAUGAUGUGCUUGGGGAAAGUAAGUGGCUGCCAGACAUGGCUGAGAGCUGUUGUCACUGCCGUCAAGUGCAUGUCUCCAAGCCAUAUCACACGGCGUCCCUCGAUGUGAGGCCACAUGGCAAGUGGGCCGUGGAUCUCCCUCUGCCCUUUGCAAGCACGUAAGACAGCAGAUUUUGCAGAUACCUUGUGGCGCAGGGGAAUUUCCUUUGGCCAGGUCUGAAGAAAUAAAGCAGCAGGCACCGAGAACAAAGCCAAGGCUUUCAAAAGACAAGGAGCCAAAAAACUUACUCAAAAUAAAAGUAGUUUUAAAAUGUCU
Homo sapiens (human) is the source of this 1364-nucleotide long non-coding RNA. Lineage: Eukaryota; Metazoa; Chordata; Mammalia; Primates; Hominidae. The record is from Ensembl.